GCGGGGAUAGCUCAGUUGGGAGAGCGUCAGACUGAAGUUAACUUUAGUGCUAUAUCUGAAGGUCAUGUGUUCGAUCCACAUUCACCGCA
Coniella lustricola is the source of this 89-nucleotide non-coding RNA. The record is from the annotation of a GenBank genome assembly. Lineage: Eukaryota; Fungi; Ascomycota; Sordariomycetes; Diaporthales; Schizoparmaceae.